This 237-nucleotide ribosomal RNA is filed under the name uncultured bacterium. Its description in RNAcentral is "partial 16S ribosomal RNA". It matches the Rfam family "Bacterial small subunit ribosomal RNA", at positions 15 to 237 of the family's 1533-position model. The record is from RNAcentral.
GAUCAUGGCUCAGGAUGAACGCUAGCUACAGGCUUAACACAUGCAAGUCGAGGGGCAGCAUGGUCUUAGCUUGCUAAGGCCGAUGGUCGACCGGCGCACGGGUGAGUAACGCGUAUCCAACCUGCCUUACACGUCUUGGACAGCCUUCUGAAAAGGGAGAUUAAUACAAGAUGUUAUCAUGAGUAAGGACAUUUUCACAGUGAUUAAAGGUUUACCGGUGUAAGAUGGGGAUGCGUU